Molecule: ribosomal RNA, 255 nt
Filed under: uncultured bacterium
Lineage: Bacteria
Description: partial 16S ribosomal RNA
Rfam family: Bacterial small subunit ribosomal RNA
Source: RNAcentral
GCAAGUCGAACGCUCUCGAUCUUCGGAUCAAUGAGAGAGUGGCGAACGGGUGAGUAACACGUAAGAAACCUGCCCUAAAGACGAGGAUAACCAUUGGAAACGAUGGCUAAUACUGGAUAGGAUAUAAAACCACAUGGUUAAUAUUUAAAGGAAGCUUUCAAGCUUCGCUAUAGGAUGGUCUUGCGCUGUAUUAGCUAGUUGGUGAGGUAACGGCUCACCAAGGCGACGAUACAUAGCUGGUCUGAGAGGAUGAAC